RNAcentral lists this transfer RNA (73 nucleotides) under Methanosarcinales archaeon. RNAcentral describes it as "tRNA-Gln". It matches the Rfam family "tRNA". Rfam says of the family: Transfer RNA (tRNA) molecules are approximately 80 nucleotides in length. Their secondary structure includes four short double-helical elements and three loops (D, anti-codon, and T loops). Further hydrogen bonds mediate the characteristic L-shaped molecular structure. tRNAs have two regions of fundamental functional importance: the anti-codon, which is responsible for specific mRNA codon recognition, and the 3' end, to which the tRNAs corresponding amino acid is attached (by aminoacyl-tRNA synthetases). tRNAs cope with the degeneracy of the genetic code in two manners: having more than one tRNA (with a specific anti-codon) for a particular amino acid; and 'wobble' base-pairing, i.e. permitting non-standard base-pairing at the 3rd anti-codon position. The record is from RNAcentral. Lineage: Archaea; Methanobacteriati; Methanobacteriota; Methanomicrobia; Methanosarcinales.
ACUCCCGUUGAGUAGCGGUCAAUCUCACAGGGCUUUGGACCCUGUGACGGCGGUUCAAAUCCGCCCGGGAGUU